RNAcentral lists this ribosomal RNA (551 nucleotides) under uncultured Glomeromycotina. RNAcentral describes it as "SSU rRNA". It matches the Rfam family "Eukaryotic small subunit ribosomal RNA", at positions 548 to 1098 of the family's 1831-position model. The record is from RNAcentral. Lineage: Eukaryota; Fungi; Glomeromycota.
UUGGAGGGCAAGUCUGGUGCCAGCAGCCGCGGUAAUUCCAGCUCCAAUAGCGUAUAUUAAAGUUGUUGCAGUUAAAAAGCUCGUAGUUGAACUUCGGGGUUCACCCAUUGGUCAGGCUUAAUUGUCUGCACUGGUGAGAUGAGUCUCUACCUUCUGAGGAACUUUCAUGUCAUUAAUUUGGUGUGAUUGGAAAUCAGGACUGUUACUUUGAAAAAAUUAGAGUGUUUAAAGCAGGCUAACGUCUGAAUACAUUAGCAUGGAAUAAUGAAAUAGGACGGACUGAUUCUAUUUCGUUGGCUUCUAGGAUCACCGUAAUGAUUAAUAGGGAUAGUUGGGGGCAUUAGUAUUCAAUUGUCAGAGGUGAAAUUCUUGGAUUUAUUGAAGACUAACUACUGCGAAAGCAUUUGCCAAGGAUGUUUUCAUUAAUCAAGAACGAAAGUUAGGGGAUCGAAGACGAUCAGAUACCGUCGUAGUCUUAACCAUAAACUAUGCCGACUAGGGAUCGGACGAAGUUAAUUUUAUAAUGACGCGUUCGGCGCCUUACGGGAAAC